CCUGGACACUCUCACACACUCCACGCAUCCAUACUAGUUAGCAAGCUAGCUAGCUAGCGCACACACAUAUCCAUUCGGCCAAGCACACACACAUAUCCAUUUGGCCAAGCACACACUUGUGCUCAUACGCAUAUAUACCAAGUCAGAUGCCUAUGGCACUGACUUCAGAUACAGCUCCAGGAGCACCUUGUACUGCCCGAUGUACACCUCAGAUAUAUACUUAGACAUGUAGGAGUAGGGGUAUUAUCUCUCCGGAGAGCCCCGAACCUGGGUAAACUAGCGCGUGCUACUCGCAUACCCGCUCCCGGUCCUAUCAGCAGCAGUCUUACCCUCACACUAAGCCCUUGUGGCAUCUGUCGCCUCACACCCUCCCCCGUGAGAAUACCACGACAGUUGGCGCCCACCGUGGGGUGGUACUACUACUAUGCUACCACGCUGCUGCUGGUUUCGCAGUCCGGGCGGGACCAUCUUCGCCAUCACCGCCGCGGCAUCGCGCUGUCUCUCCGGUAGCGCUCGGGGGCUCGACUUCGACCCGCCCCCGGAGCGGCAGCGCGGGACGGCAUGUCCUCAUCGUCGGCCUCGCCGCCUUCGUCAUCACCACCGUUGCGACGCCGGCCAUCUGACCGCGCGCGCGGGGCCUCGCUUCGGUCGGCCGUGUUCAUCCACGCGCCGCUUGCAUCCGCUCCCCUCCGCGCUGCGCCUUGCUCUGGCCGGAACGCGCUUUCGCUCCUCCACAUGCCAUCUAUACAAGCUAGCUAGAUGCAAGUCAAACCAUAGUCAUAAACAUCCCAGAUAAUGCAUGUACACAAGUCAGAUAUUCCUUAUACAACACACAGAUAAUGGCCGUACGCGGCUUGCCUCCGCUCGCCUCCGCCCACGCGUACGCGCUGCCGUCCCGGCUCGCCUCCGCGCCGCCAACUGCUACUGCUGCCCAGGCCCACACCACGGCUUCCCGACGGUGCAUGGCCCCUCUGCUCGCUCCUGUCCCUCGCCAGAUGCACGCGCAGGAGCGGCCUCUGCUCUUCUUCGCUCGAGCCGAACUGCGUCGCUAAUGCGCCUCUGCUCCGCGGCUCCCCUCCGUGGCCGCCCUCGGGUCCGCUCGUGGCCGGGCCGCCUGCGCCGUUGCCCUCUCGCGCGCAGGGCCCCUGCCGCGCGGCUACGCGCUCCAGGCCGCGCCGGGCCGCUCGCCCCGACCCCCGCUGCGUUGCGCGGACGCCGCCUGGGGCCUCGCGCGCGCUCGGCCGCGGCCGGCUGCCCGGGCGCCUUCGUCCCCACGCGCCGCUCCGGCUCCCGCGGCUGCGCGCGUGCCGGCUGCUGGCUGGCCGGUCCCCCACCGUCGCGUCACCUCUGGCUGCGCCCGUGUGCCGGCCCGUAUCCGCGUCGCGGCGCCGCCUCCUCCUUCGCACACGGCCUCCGCGCCCGGCCGACUGCCGGCUCCCGCGCCGCUGCAGAGCCCCACGCCGGCCUCGCUCUCUCGUGCGCCGACCCGCGGUCGGGUGCCCCUCGCCGGCUUGCCGCGGCCGGCUCCGGCUCGUGCCUCGACCCGUCCGGCUGACUCCACUUCCGUAAGACGGCGGCCGGGUUCUCCGCCCCCGUGCCGACUUCUCCACGCGCGCUGGCUGCGCCUCGCCUCCGCUCCAGUCGGCUGCCGGGUCCGGCUCCUCCCGCGUCGCCGCACCAGGUCCGGCUCCUGCAUCGCCUCGCCUUCCUGCAUGUCGACUCCGCCCCGCGUGCCGCGCCUCCCGCGCUCGGCCGGGUCACCGUGCGCCCGCUAGCCGGCUCCUCCAGGUCGCCUCCCCGCGCCCGGCCCGGGCCGGCUCGCCGCCUCCGCUCCUCCGGCUCCGCCUCCGCCCAGCUGCGCCUCGCGCGCUCGGCUUGGUGCGCCCGCGACCCGGCCCUGGCCGGCUCCGCCACUCGGCCCCGCCUCGCCGGCUAUAGCUCCCGUUGCGAGCGCCGUGGCCGGCUGUGCCCCGUCGGGUCCCCGCUCCGGCCGUCUGCUGUGGCCGACACCUGAAAAAAAAGCUGAAGAAAGAAAGGGGCUGGGUGCCCAUCAGGCUAGAGAAAAGAAAGAAGAGGCCGGCUGCUGCGCUCCCACUUCGGCCGCCUGCUGCGGUUGCGUGCCCGAAGAAGAAAAGAAAAAGAAAAGCUAGAUGAGGUCGGGUGCUCGGGGAAAAUAAAAGAGGCCGAGUGCCCAAUCCGGCUGAGAAGAGGCCGAGUGCCCAAUCUGGCUGAGAAGUGGCCGAGUGCCCAAAAGAAAGAAAAAGUGACUGGGUGAGAUGGCCGGCUGCCCGAGAUUCGGCUGGAAUAAAAGAAAAGAUGAAAGAAAUGUGCGUCCGACUGCCAGAUGUGCGUCCAAUCGCUGGCUGCCUGGCCGGCUGCAAAAAUCCCGACUGAUGUGUCGGAGUCCGCCUGCCCAGCCAGCUGAAGAAGGAAAAGAAGAAGACAAAGUAGUCGCCAGGAGAUCCGGCCUGACUGCUCAACAGUCGGCCCGAAUCUUGGGGGCUACACUCAGCGGGUGCGCUGACGCGCCCCCGCGAAGAAGAAGACAAAGUAGUUGCCGGGAGAUCCAGUCCGACUGCUCAGUAGUCGACCCGAAUCUCGGGGGCUACACCCAGCGGGUGCGCUUACGCGCCCCCGCGAAGAAGAAGAAGACAAAGUAGUCGCUGGGAGAUCCGGCCCGACUGCUCAGCAGUCGGCCCGAAUCUCGGGGGCUACACCCAGCGGGUGCGCUGACGCGCCCCCGUGAAGAAAAAGACAAAGUA
This 2762-nucleotide ribosomal RNA is filed under the name Triticum aestivum (bread wheat). Its description in RNAcentral is "partial small subunit ribosomal RNA". The record is from RNAcentral. Lineage: Eukaryota; Viridiplantae; Streptophyta; Magnoliopsida; Poales; Poaceae.